CCCUGAGGGGGCGGCGGCGGCGGCGGCCGCCAGGGGCUCCCGUUGGGGGACAGGGAGGGUGAGAGACGGAGCUCCUGCGAAGGGACGGCGGCGAGCGCCCACCCUGUGAGGCGGCCCCCGGAGCACGGCGGCCCCGAGGCCCGCCAGAGCCGGCACCGCGCUGCGGCUCCCCCCGCACGGAGCUUCGCAGCGUCCUGCAGGCUCGGGCAGAGCCGGUGCUUGGAGACACGAGUGUCCCGCGGAAAUCACCCGAGCCCAGCUCUGCCCGCGCGUUUGCUUGUAAUAGCUGCCUAGCAGUAAAGCUGUCCUCGAAAAACUCUUUGGUCACGUAAGUGAGGAGAAGAUGAGGAGAAAGAGCUCGUCUGUUGGGCAGCCGGGUCUAACAGCAGCCGGCAAAAGAAAAUGUCAGUAAAGCCUGAGCCAGGCAGGGGGAGUUGGCAGCGUGGCUGUUUGACAUUCGAAGCCCCGCGAGGAAAUAACGUGCCCUCCUUCUUGGGUGGGGAGAAAAAGCCAGGCAUGUAUUUCAGGAGGCCCUGUGGGUCCGAUAGGCGCAGCUGAGGUACGGUGGGAGUCCAAAUGUUUCGGCAGGUAGGGAUGCCAGCAGCCGGGGGACGCAGCAGGCAGGAACAGGGCUUGUGGUGUGGUGAGCUGGGGACUGGAAAGGCUCAAGCUGUGAUGGCCCUUGAGAAGAGGGAAGCUUUCAGAGAAAGAGCGCGGAAUGCAGUUUGAGUGGAGAGCGCUGACCUUGUUCCCCUUUUCCCUCUCAUUGCAGUAAUGGGACCCUUGCUCCUUUUUGAUCACUCAGGUGGGAGAAAGAGUCACGCUGGGGGAUGGGAUCAGACUUUUUUUUUCAUAUACAUAUUUUCAUUUUUUUGUAUACAAUCUCAAUGGGGAUGGAGAAAAAAACAGCAACAAGGAGAAUCCUUCUGAAGGACAGCGAGGUUGAGUCCCAGCCCCCUCUGUGCUUUUGCAGUUUAUUUUUGUUUGUAAGAAAGUGAAGGUGCUCCCCGAGCUGGGUGGUGACAUAGCCAGGGAGGCCAAACAGCAAAGCUCAGUGCAAAGGGAUCCACUUGAGCUACCAACUCUGAGUCAUGCAGCUGCUAUUAAUACACCUCGCCCUCUGGCUGUCUGAUAAAUAAAGAAAGGUUGGGGGAAGAACAAAAAGGAAUUUUCAAUUAAAGCUGCUUCAAAAAGAAUAAUAAGAACAUUUUAGGAUGAAUUGGAGGUGAGGAGAAGGGGAAGAAGAGGAGAGUAGCCUGGCAAACAGCAAGGAAUAAUCUCCGAGAAUCUGUGGGAGCCUCACUGACUAAAUUUUUUUAAAUUUGUUUGGACAAAAUUUAAAGAACAUUCUGAUAAACUAGAUGACUACAUAAUACAAACUAUGAUGAAAUUGAAUUAUAUAAGCUUGAGUUUAAUUGCUGUUUCUAAAGGCAUUUAAUGAGUUUAAUCUGUGAUGAUUUUAUGCAUUUUAUUGUGUAUUUCAAACUGGCAUUUCUCUUGCAGUCAUCACCGCAGAACCUGAACAUCUCAGUCUAUUAAAGUGUACCUGCAAAGGCAUAAAGCAUUAGUGAAGACCCACUUGUGUGUUGGACUCUACUUUUAUGAAAGCUAAAUGUACAAUCCAAGGGGCAUUUACUGGACAAGCAUUUUGGAAAGGAGAACUAAUAAAAAAAAAAUCACCUUGAGGAAUUUCUGAAUUUUUUGGCAUCUUAAAUGUUGACUGGUGAACAGAGAUUGAAAGGAUGGCACAUAAGGACAGAUUUUAUACUUCAGAUGCUGCUGAAGUUGAAAUUACAAAAUAGAUGAAGAGGAGAGUUACUCUGGUUGCCCUGCUGCUUGCUCAUCAUCUUCUAUAUGGAGUUUCUUCUACAUGAAGCCAGUCAAAACCACAAAGGCUUUGCAUGAAAAUGGAGGUUUGAUAGCUUGAAGAUCUGCCCUUUCUUGCUUCUUUACAUCAUUUCCUAUCAUGUAAGUACAGUUGAGAAUUUUUUUCCUCAUUGCUUCAGCUGAGCCCUGCAAACUUCAUUUCUGUUGUCAACCUACAAAAGACUGGGGGAAUUUCCUCAGUGUUGGUGUAAAGGGAACACAAUGGCAAAUGAAGUUUGCAGAAGGCAGAGAAUGUAACAAAUUAAUCUUGCACAUUAUAUGUUGACAAUAUUGUUUCCAGAAGACAGAGCUGUCAGUGUAGACAGUACAGUAUGUGGCUGUGAUUAACAAAAUGUUUAAGAUUCAUAUAUGUAAGAUCAUACAACCUCAGAUGAAAUCUGUGUACAGCUCUGAUUGUUGCAGCCUAAAAGACUACAGAAUUAGGAGAUGUUUGGAGACACUGAAGGGGCACAAAAAAAUGCCCUCUAACUGAAUUAGAGCUUUUUGCCUAAGAAAUGAAAUAAAUAAGAAGAGAUUCAAAUAUGCAAGCCUGAGGCUUAGGGAAAAAAAAAACAGCAGCCCUUUCCUGAGCACUGUAGAGGAAUGGAAAACCAAGAGGGGGUGAGCGCUCCAUUGGCAUCUUGUGGAUAGAAAAGGAGUUGAACAGAAACAGGCAGGCUUGAAACCUUCUGUUGGAAGUUUCUGCUUUGUUGUAUUUCUGUUAACAAGUCAGCCACUGAGAAAAAGCAUGGUAUAAAUUUGAAACAGUGAUGUAAUUACAGUAAUGUGUGAAAAGCCUGGGCAAACUAACUCAGUGUAAAUGUGCUCAGGGCUAGCAGUCACCCUAAUCUAAAACCUCCCUUUCAGCCUGGGGUUGCAGCAGCUUCUAGAAGUGGAAUGGAAAGCUCUGUAAAAACCAAUCUUCCUUGGGCAACAAGGUUUAUUUCUGUCUUUAUAUGUAAUCUCCUAUGAAAAAGCACAAAAUCACUAACGAGUAACUAAUGAAAAGAAACAGCCAGCAGGAUGGUCAGUACGAAAGGAUACCAGGUGACUCGGAGCAACUAACCCAAAUUACAUGUUGACACUUCAGCAUGCAACAGCCUAAACUGAGGCAGGUGGUCAAUCCACUGGACUUGACACUAAGUAGCAGUGAAUAAAGUACUACCUAAGGAGGUAAGUAGCUUUCACCUGCCCUAAGAAAUCAGAGGACAAGUCUAAAUUAAAACUACUGUCUUUUAGGGAAAGUGUAGUUGCUGUCCCAUUUCCCUUCCUUUACUUUCCUUCUUUCUAAGUUCUGUUUUGUUAAGCUGUUUGUAAAUGGGAAGUACAGUAUUAUGUAGGUCACUUUUUAGUAAAUAUUCCCUAGAAACACUGGGUCAAGAUCUAGCAAAAGGCUUGCAAACAUAAAAAUAGAAUAGAGAAUGUUGUUUGUGAGCUUUCAUUUUCUUAGUCUUGUAGUACAAGAGGAGGCAGACUGUGUAGCUGACAACUCGUAUAUUUGAAACCGAGUGUUGUCUUUUCAUCAAAGAACAAAAUAGACUGUGAAACUCACUGUUCCAGGAUCUUAUUGAAGUCAAAACGCACAGCAAGAGUCUAAGAGGAAGGGCAAUAUUCCCUUGUCCCGAAUUACUGUAUUUCUGGAUAUUCCUGUUACUUAUAUAAGAGGUAUUAAAAGAAAAAAAAAAAAACCAGCUUGAAACACAAAGUUCAAACAAGUCAGUAAUUACGAUGAAAUCUCCAUCACCCCAAUUCUGUCGAAAAUGUGUUUGGGUUUGUUUUGGUUUUGCAUCUUCUCAGAAGCAUUGGGAAUUGACAACAGUUAGAGAUACACAACUGGGCUAAAUGAACAUAAUGCAGUGUGGCAAGUUAUAUGCUCCAGUGAGUUCCACAUUUUCUUAGAAAUAAAACUAGGUUUAGCCCACAGAGAGAGCAUGUCAGUGAUCAAACUAUACAUGCCUUGAGGAAAAAAAGGGGAGGAAUCUCUAAGGUUUAAUUCUGUAAAGCAAAGUUUCAAAGAGACUACUGAAGAGCAAGUAAUUGCUCGAAACUCCCUCUUUCUGAAAGGUCAAUUUUUAGUUCCCUUUAGGAGAAUGUAAGAAAUACAUGUCACACAACUGUUCAGAAAAUCCUUCAUUACUGUAGGAAGUCAGUUCUACGCAACUUAGGCUUUGGGGAAAUUCAUUUAUGCAGAGGUCCAUUUCAGGUGUUACUGUACAACUACUGGGGCUCAGAAAACCUUGUUCACAAAUGCAACAGACCAUGAAAAUGGUGAGUUAGAUUCCUGUUUAUAGCUCUGCUUAGCAAUUAAAUUUCUAACUUAAAAUGCAAUCACCAACUGUUGAGAUCCUCAAAAGUGCUACCAUUCCCUGUGGAAGGGUCUGUCACGGUUCCACCCAAGAUUCUUUAAAGUUCACUGUAUUUGCAAAGGCUCGUUUUGAUAUUUAUUCUCCCGCACAUACAAAAUCUGAUGGCAGUAGUCCUACUAUACAACUCUGUAUGGAAGAAGAGAAUACAGCCCUUAGUGUAACCUGCUUAUCCUUCAAUAGUAGCAUAGUCACACUAUUACUGCUAAUAGUAGCAGAGCAGAAUACAACAUUUUUGCUUACGUGUCUUUUUCAUUAGUAGUUUUAUAACACUGAAACACCACAUCCUGGAAAAUACAGCAAGGGAGGCUGUAUUGUUAAAGUGGUUUUACAAGCGAAAUGAAGAUACAUCUGAAGUCUGCCUAGGGGCUUUUAAUCCAGAUAUUGUGAGUAAAACCAGAAGCUGCAUUGUCACCUGCACUGAGACGUAGGCGCAUUCUGUGUUCGCUUCUUCAUCUUGCCACAUAAGAACUGCUGCUGAAAUUGCUUCAGCAAGACAAGAGCCUUCAGAGCAAUGCUAUAUAGAAGGUUCAGGCCUUCUUCAAGAUGUUAGUAUAACUAGAUGUCAUUUGCUUCUCAUCACAUUUUCAAAAUCCCUGGAAGAGAUUUUUAAUUGCUAAUGUUUUUCAUCAGUUUAAGAUACUCAACCUGCUCAUCUGUAUCUUAAUAUAUUCAGAAAUCAGUUACAAAAAUAACUGUAGUACCUAACAUAACCUAUUACUCAGAGGCUCACUACAUUCUAUUGCAGUAAGUUAAAAUACAGAGUAAAGUUAGUCUCACAAGACUUAGGAGUCUCAUUAGUAGUCCUGAUCAUUUUAGUCAAAGAACUGCUCAUAUGCAUUUUAGUUUGCAGAACUGGCGAUCUAAAUUUUUCCAGAUUCAGUGAAAUCUGAACCACUGGACUGGUAUUUUUCCUACACAGUAGGCAAAGCCGCUAACAAAUCUGUAGGACAAGAAAGAUAAUUCUGCAAGUCCAGCAAAGAUGGAUUACAAGAUACUGUUUACUCCAAAUUAAGCUGGGACCAUUAUACUUCUUUACACAAGGUGUCAGAACUCUAGCAAAAAUCUGGGAGGAGAACACAGGAUUUCUCCCAGAUUUUUUUUUCUUGUGAAGCAGAGGAAGAUGCACUUGAGACAUUGAUACUGCAGAGAAGGAUGUGGGUAAUUCUGGUUUCAUAUUUGGUCUGAGUGGGUGUAUCUCAGCUGCCCUUUGAGGGGUGCUCCACACUCUUGCUCUAGAAUAGAUGCACUCUGUCAGGCAUAAACCCAGCUGUGCAACAUCAAGACACCUGCUAGCACAUGGGGAUCUGAAAGCAAGCAAGUACACCUCAGAGGCUGGUUCACAGUACGUAGGGCUCUGUUCUGGGCACCACACUGCAUCAGUAUAGAGACAGGAUGCCCAUGGGCUGCCUGUGAGCAUUUCUGCAGGUGUCACACGGGCUGCUUGAGAGGCUGACAUCUGCAUGAGGAACAGGCAUACCUUGACACAGGUUGUGCUCCGGUGUAGAGGGGGUGCUGUUAUAACUGCUAACUUCUGUUGUACUUCUAUCAAAAUGUAAUACACUCAAAUAAAAGCAUGGAAC
This is a long non-coding RNA of Harpia harpyja (harpy eagle), 5812 nucleotides long. RefSeq lists it as uncharacterized. NCBI's taxonomy places the organism in Eukaryota, Metazoa, Chordata, Aves, Accipitriformes, Accipitridae. The transcript has 4 exons. The record is from RefSeq and is a predicted model, not a curated record.